GAUGAAGAACGCAGCGAAAUGCGAUAAGUAAUGUGAAUUGCAGAAUUCAGUGAAUCAUCGAAUCUUUGAACGCACAUUGCGCCCGCCAGUAUUCUGGCGGGCAUGCCUGUUCGAGCGUCAUUUCAACCAUCAAGCCCCAGGCUUGUGUUGGGGACCUGCGGCUGCCGCGGGCCCUGAAAACCAGUGGCGGGCUCGCUGUCACACCGGGCGUAGUAGAUUUUAUCUCGCUCAGGGCGUGCUGCGGGUUCCGGCCGUUAAAAAGCCUUUUUUACCCAAGGUUGACCUCGGAUCAGGUAGGAAGACCCGCUGAACUUAAGCAUAUCAAUAAGCGGAGGA
This 336-nucleotide unclassified non-coding RNA is filed under the name soil metagenome. RNAcentral describes it as "partial contains 5.8S ribosomal RNA, internal transcribed spacer 2, and large subunit ribosomal RNA". The stretch from base 1 to 120 matches the Rfam family "5.8S ribosomal RNA", at positions 35 to 154 of the family's 154-position model. The record is from RNAcentral.